RNAcentral lists this long non-coding RNA (530 nucleotides) under Pan troglodytes (chimpanzee). RNAcentral describes it as "long non-coding RNA NONPTRT018357". The record is from RNAcentral. Lineage: Eukaryota; Metazoa; Chordata; Mammalia; Primates; Hominidae.
UACAGAUAAGUCACUCUUGGGAAGAAGGCUUGAAACUGAAUGACAACGGCUUACAGAAAUCAUCCUCUCUAAAGUGCAUUGAUUUAACUCCAGUAUCCUCAAUGGCUUCUUCCAUCAAGAAGACUGGGAAGUCUACUUCCAGCUACUUUUGAUGGAAACGACAGCAAUGCUGGAUCUUCUGGUAAUUCGUCAGCUGAAAUCGGCACUGUCACAAACUCUCCUGUGUCACCUUCUGAUACUGGUUCUCAUUUGUUCUAGUAGACGAACUUUCAACUAAAUGAUUCACCCAUCCCAAGACUUUCUCACCAGUGGAGAAACACACACAUCAAGCAAACCAAGUCAGAGCAAUGAGAAUUGUACUGUAUAAUUUAAACUAUCUCCUAUUUAUCUUUUUUCCUCAAUUUCCUAAAAUUCUAUUUAUCUACAGAACUUGCGUGUAUAAUUCUUGUGUACAUCCUUAAAUUUAAUGUAAUAACAUGUUAAAGAUGUUUUCCAAAUAAGAACCAUGUUGAAGAUACAAGCGUAAAUUG